UUAUUUGUCUUAUAUAUCUCUCAUUAUCCUAAGUUAGUGUAAAAUUGACCCUUUUCAUUGUACUCUUAUCAUGUCAUCUUUCUGUUAAAUAUAAAAUAUCACUUAUAGGUGAUAUCCCCUAAACAAGGUAAAAAAAGGUGUCUUAUUUUGUAUAUUUAAAAAGAUUUACGGGUACUAUCAGAAGAUCUUUUGAUCAUUUAAUUCAAGUUUAAUAAUGUGAAUAUGAUAACUGAGAGAUGCAAGGAAAUAAUUUGUAGAUUUAAAUUUCAUAAAUUAACAGUAUUUUCAAAUGAUAUAGAUAUCGUGAGGCCAUCAUUGGCCUAGAGAACAAUUAUGAGGCCUUGUGUUUGUACUUUGUCCCUCUGCUUUGGCCUUAGGUCCCAUUGCUUUGGCCUUAGGUCCCAUUGCUUUGGCCUUAGGUCCCAUUGCUUUGGCCUUAGGUCCCAUUGCUUUGGCUUUAGGUCCCAUUGCUUUGGCCUUAGGUCCCAUUGCUUUGGCCUUAGGUCCCAUUGCUUUGGCCUUAGGUCCCAUUGCUUUGGUCUAAUGGGAUAGGUGAGUAGAUGCUUCAGAAAUAAGGUAACAGUUAGUCAAUGGAUCCUGCAUUUGAAGUACUCUUUUCUGUAUGUGGCAUUGCCCUAUUAGUUUAUUGUCUUUUUUCUUAGCGCAUUUAGAUUUAACAUUUUUUUUCUUAUUGAAUGAAAUACUCAUGUUAUGCUACACAGAAAUAACAGCAACAAUUUUCAGAAUACCUAUACACAUUGUAACCGAAUACUUUGUAGUCUGUUCACCAACUAUUUCACCUGUUCUUCAUUUCUUGUUCUACAAGUAGUUCUUUCUUUUUGACAUAUCCACCUUUUUAUGGUUUAUUCUUUACUUUGGAGCAUUGCACCCCCCCUGCCUAUGACAUUUUCAUUUGAAAGUUUUGCACAAACAUUAUAAUAUUCCUUCACACUAUUAAUCCCUUUUAAUGUUACUGGCGGUCGUACAAAACGAGUAGCAAUCAUACGUAACUUGAUUAUCCAUCGAUCAGAAGCGUGUAUCUCAGACGUGCAUAUGAUUUUUGAGUUGUGUGUCAACAACGCUAUUUCUGCAGUAGGCUUCAUGUGAUCUGUAGAUACAUCUCUGUCCACAAAAUGGAAAAUACAGGUGUACAUAUAACGUCAUUGUUAUCACCAAGAAUGUGUUAUAUCAUAUUCAUGUGAAUAGCAUUUUGUAGUGUGUGCAUGCUAGCAUGCAAGCUUUGCUUGUUCAUCACAGAAUCCUUAUGUUUAUGUUCUUACUGCAUUGAUAUCGACAUAAUCAUCUAUAUUGCACUCUCUAUCUGUAUAGCAGUAAUCUAUUGAAAGGCGCACAAUUUUUAUUGUAAUUCCAGCUUUAAGGUAAUGAUGCUGACAUUUCAUGUUAAUUAUUCCUACAUUAGUAUUUGAUAUACAUGUAUGUAUGUUGUAUUUCUUCCUUUGUUGUAAUUGAUUUCAUAUUUUGACUCGUAUUAUGUUCAAUGACUGGUGCAUUGUUUCAAUCAGUAACGAUAUCUUUUUCCUUCUUGAUAUGAAAUUGUUUUACUGGUGUUUAUAUUUUUUACAAGAAAAAAAAGAAAAAAAUGAAUUUCAUCUUCUGAUCUAUUUUUGUAUGCCUACUGCAUGAAAUAUGAAUAUUGAUUGAAGUCUCUACUAGUACAUUUUCUGUAGAUUACAGCAUUAAUCGUAGUUGAUGUAGACAUAAUGAAUGGGUAUAUUGUUUUAUUCAUAUAUAAUGAGCAGUGCUGCCUAGUGUUCUUAUUAAUAUAUAUUUGUAUCCAUAUAUGCAGUACUGCAGGUCAUUAGAAAAGAGAUCUAUUUUUUUGCUACAUAUCAUAUAAAUGUUUGAACCAAAAAUGGAAUAAAUGUCUUGUAUAUCAGUAUAGAAUUCAACCUCAUUUAUUUGGUAUUAAUGUGAUAUAUCUGCACAUCGUGAUUUGACAAGAAAUUUGGGUUGGCUACAUUGUGCACAUGUAAUUUUUCUUCAAAUUUUAGAAAUAUGUAAUAUAUGUUAAAGGAGGAGUAUUAAUAUCUAAUAGGUUAUUUGAAACUGAAUUUCAGAAAUUAAUCAUUUUUUAGGUGAAAUAGAGUUUUUUAAAUCCAAAGAUAAAUAUUACUGCAAGAUUGUGGCCGCUUUGUACAGAGAUUUUCAAAUAGGAGAUUGCCUUUUAUGUCAUGUUGGAUUCUUUCUAGAUUGAUAUUAAUUUACAUGUGCAUCAACAGAUAUUUGUAUUUGUAAUCUAUUUAUAUAAAUCAUGUACACAAAAUUUAUGCUGAUCUGUAUUUAUUUGCAUCAAAUGGAUAUAUGAAUUUGCAUGAUAAAUGCACAAAUUAUUACCAUGAAUCUAAAAAAAACAUCGGAGGACAGGAAUAUUUAUUUAAAAAAUAGUGAUUUAUGAUUGACUUCAGUGUAUGAAAUCAUGGCAGGAAACAAACCCAUUUCCCAGUACACAUUUGCGUAUUAUGAGAAAGAGGAUCUUGCAAUAUUAUACAAUUUUGAAUAUAUGCGGAAGCCAAGAAGUAUGUAGUCAGUUCCCUAAUUUACCAAUUCAUUUCAAGGUGGUAUAAUUUCUCUGUCUUAAUGAGUUUAUCAAUUAUCAGGAGCAGGUUGUCCAAUCCGUUUACACAUUUGACAGAAAUAAUGAAAAAGUGUGAGGGUUUGACAUCACUCUAUUUUCAUCACACUUGUUUUGGAUUAUGUGACUCAUUGUAAAUUCUGGUUUUUUUUUCUUUGAUUUGAAUUCAUUAUCUGUAGAUAACACCAUUUACAUUGUACAUUGAUUAUAAUCUGCUUUUUAUAUAGUGCUUUCUAAGUAGAAAGUAAGAAAUUGGCCCCUAUUCUGAAUUGUGGUUUAAUUCAUAGUCUGGUCUAAAGUUGUGGUUUGACUAUGGAUAGCUGAUCGUGAUAGAUAUCUCUAACAGUACAGGUACAAUUUAUAAUCACAUCUAUUACGUCAUUCAUAAUGUCUCGGAAAAAAUAUCUGUAUUGAUUUUUUUCCUAAUUGUAGCAUGUAGAAAGAGCACAGUGGAAAUGCAAUGUUAACAAAAUUUUGACAUGUUUGGCUUUCCAUAAUUUUAGCACAGAGUUAGACCGUGGCCCAAGUUAAACCAGAAUUCAGAAUGUAAGCCAUUCUGACUUGCCUGCGAACAAUGUUAUGCACAUUCUCCACACCCUAGGGAGCAUUCCAGCAAGUUUCCAAAUUCAAUUGCAAGGAAUACACAUUGACUUUCAGAUCCUAUUGGGCAUUUGAUUUAAUACCUAUGUGACUAUCUGGUUGCUAGAUAAGAGUUAUAAACAAUUCCUCAAGCUAUUUCCACUGAUACAUUCCAUGUCAUGUGAAAUCUUCUCCCUCAUAUUGAGAUAUUUCCGCUCUCAUGAUACCUGGGAGGUACUAGUAAUAACCUUUUUUUCUACAUGUCAGCAGAUAAGAAGACUUUGAAUUAUCUAUAAGAGUAUAGCCGUCAACUGGUUUGAGUUAUUAUCAUUUUGAUUCUACACGACGAGUUGUUUUCACAAUUCAUUUAUUGUGGAACUACUCAUCUCAUUAUGAGCACUCCAAAUCUUUGUGAGGUUAAUGCCCUCUCUACUAUAAAAUGAUCAAAUGUCAAAGGUUAUAACAUGUUGGAUUUAUUUAAUUUCAUUGAUGACUACGCAUUAGCGUGCCUUUACUUCACCAUGUACUUGCCAAUAUGGUGAUGAUUUUUUUUUAUAUAUAUUCUAAACAUAUCCAAGCUAUUAAGUGUGACUUUAAAAGUUAAAUUCAACUCUUUGUGAAAUACCCCCCUUCAUUGCCUCAUAUAAAAUAACCUUUUAGAAAAUCAUUUUAUUAGUCAGAUAUUAUGAAGAUCUGUUUCUAUGUGAUGUUGAAUAUGGUAUCAGAUAUGGUUGUUGAUUGUAUGUAUCAAUACAUUUUUUCUCUGUGGAUGAAUAUUAUAUAUAUUUAUAGAUAGUUAUAUUUACCAUGCUGUUUUGCUGCCACCAACUUCAACUUGACCGUUUUAUAACUUUUAGCCGUGAAAUCUCAUUCAAGGGAAAUAUCCACUUUGUUGCAUCGCACUUUCACUUUCAGAUAUUGCGGUCAUCACGAUGCACAAUUUAUGUACUUUUAUAGUGAAUUGGCAUUGAGCAAUGAUGUGAUGAGUUUAGGCAAUUAAUCAUGACAUGCAUUUUAAUGGGAAUCUCAAUUUCAAAAAAGAAAUAUGGAGUUAUUUGGUUUUGGAUAGUUUUUAAAUUUGUUUGUUUUUAACACAUUAUGAAUACAAUGACACAUUGACAUUGGUCAUGAAAAUAAUAUUUUCCUCUUGCUAUAAAUAGAAAAUUAUGAAUGUGUUCUUUCAUUUCGGAGAAUAUUCACUGACUUUGCUUUAAGGAAACACACUAGCGGCCUUCAAACCAAACUACCACAAAGUAAAAUACUGUGAGUUGUUUGCUUCUAUUUGAUGUGUGACUAUGCAUGAAUCCCUUUUUUUUUUAGAUGUUUUAAUAUAUUUCAUAAAGUAUAGUUUGUGAAAAAAUCCAAACCUUGUCUUUGGAUGGAAAGAACUUGUUUAAUGAUGAAUAAUUGAAUGAAAACUCUCCAUGAGAAGGGACUUUUUUACUCAUGUAUAAGCAAAUUUAUGCAUGUCGAAUAUAGCUUUAUGGUCAUACUCAGAGGCUUGUCAGAGACUUCCUGACAUACCAUCAGGAGGUAUACUUGCUAAGUACUUUGGUUUAUGAUUAACAAUGACAUAGUCAGUUAUGUAUAAAGUCUAUAUUUAACAAGAUUAUUGAUAAACUUUGAAAUUCCGACGUUUGGAGAACAAUUGGCUCCCGACAUCACAAUCAACUUUGGUUGUUUACCACUUCCCUUCAUACAGCUCUGUGAUUGGUUGCUAAUUUUCUGUAUUUCCUGAAGAUUAACACUAAUGACUGAAGGUUUAUUUUAAUUAAGAAAAGAACAACUUUAUUAGGAACUUUUAUUGUGUAUUAUGGAGUUGAAAAUGGGUAUGUAAUCUAUUUUUUAACCUGUGUUUUAUUAUUGUUUGGCUGUAAUUUCUUAAUUGAAUAAAAUCUUGACACUUUUUGUAA
This is a long non-coding RNA of Lytechinus variegatus (green sea urchin), 5085 nucleotides long. RefSeq lists it as uncharacterized. Lineage: Eukaryota; Metazoa; Echinodermata; Echinoidea; Temnopleuroida; Toxopneustidae. The record is from RefSeq and is a predicted model, not a curated record. The transcript has 2 exons.